GGGGCCCUAGAACUCCAAGAUGAUAUGCCCUUUGUCUUCUGCUACCAGGGUGGGUAGGGAAGGACCCUCAGGUGAGGGUGGGGUAGGCACCUCUGAGCUCAGGCUCUCCUUGGGCGGUCCUUGCUGCGGCUGCUGUGGGGGCUGGGGGUGAGAUUCCCAGGUCACUGGAGUUAUGUACCUAGGAGGAUUAUGUCUGCCUCUGCUGAGUCAUGCAGGUUGUCAGGGAAGUGGGGGAAAGCCGGCAGUCACAGGGCUCACCCAGCUCCCACCCAAACCAAAGGGCCGGUCUCACUCCCACCGUGCACCCCCCAACAGCCCCCAGUCCGUUUCCAGGCGGAGAGGGAUACAGGCCUGAAAACCUGCCCCAGGCUACCCGCCUCCCAGCUGCGAGAGAAAAAGGCUUGGUUCUUCCCCCGCCUGUGGAGUCAGCACCCCGGAUUCGUGCCCUGCCCUAGUUCUGGCCAGGAGGAUUCUCACCCAGUUCAAACUGUUACAACGCUCAGCUAGAGAUUUCCUUCUCCCUGUGGAGUUUUACCCCCUCCUCUCCCGAUGGAUCCCUGUGGUGCCAGCAGGAAUGGGCUGCUCGGGGACCCAGCGAGCUCCGCGGGCCUUUCCGCUGCUUCCUCUACCCCUGUACCUCACUGGGCUCCCCAGACGGACUCAGCUCCAGGUGUCUGUGAACUCAAGAGAAGCCUUUCAUUCUAGACAUAGUAGUUAUUUUCUAAAUCAUCUUUAAACUUAUUUGCUGGAAUAUUGUGGGGGUAAAGUGCAAACUUCCCCUUCACCAUCUGAAGGUUUGCUAAAAAUCAACAGGCAGAAGGCGAAUUAACAGGAGAAAUGGCAUGCCAAUUUGUUUGAUCACAGUUUUACAUGAAGAAUGAAGACCCAAAGACACAUGAGAAAUUGUCCAUUUUUAUGCAACACCAGACCAGGCGAUGCUCUAAGACAGGUACAACAAAGUAUGGACAUGCGUGUAGAAAUACGAGUCAACUAAAGGGUGUGAUCUACUGCUAAUAGGCUGAGUGGGGACACCCAGACUCUUCCUGGCCCCUGUGAGCAGCUUCCUUUCCUUCUGGUGUGGGGCAGGAACUUCUCUGGAAUGGGGAUCUUCUGACCCACAGUCAAACAAGAAUUGGACAGAAGUCACAUCAGGGAGACCAGAGACUAGAGUAUUGCAUCAUAGAGGAAAGACACUGAUGACAAGACCUCAGGGGAGCAGUGGAACUGGAGGCCUGGGAGCUUGGGACGUGUUCUCCGGGUGAAGUUGGCUGGCCAGCUGAUGACCUACACCAGUGCCAUUCACUCCUCAUGUGUCCCCCGGGAAUUCAUAGUGUGUGUCAUCAGGUAAAAGCAACACUACUUUCAGAUGUUUUCUGAUCUCUUUGAGAUCUGGACAACACUACUGUGUACAUAUGGCCAGCAACAAAUUACACUCAAUGAAUAUUUUAGAGAGCAGCAAAGUAAUCAAUUAAAAUGUGGGUAAACAAAAAUCACUGUGAUCACAGCUCUGUCUACAUGGUUCUUUGGUAAAAAAUUAGAAUCCUGGGGAUUAGUCUGAGGAUAAAUAUUAUUUAAAAAGCAUUUUGGUUAAAUAGUAAUUAGUAAAUUUUGCUCUGCCGAAAAAUCAUAUAUAUUGACAAUAAAUUUUGUCAAAUUUAUUAAUAACCAGUCUGAAACUCUAUAAAGAUGAAUCCUCAAAAUAUGGAUAUAAAAGAAGGGUUUAGUUUUGUUUUAUUUUCAGACAGCUAUUUUUAAAAAAAUAGUAAAAAUGUCAAAACAAUCUGGUUUUAUUUUAUUAUAAAUUACAAAGAAAAAAAUACUUCCCUUUUUGUUGUUGAGCUUAUCUAUUCACAAACACAGAAAGUAGCAAAAGAGGUUUUUGAUAGCACGCCAUCCCCCAUUUAAAAUACAUUUAAAGACAUCCAAUAAUCAUCAUCAUUUAGAAGGAAUCCAUCAAAACGUUUCCUAUUAAUACUCAUUUUAUUAGUUCAGCUGAAUGGAAACAGUAGCAUGCUUACAUUUAAGAAAGUUCAUUAUGGGUUCGUUUUCUUUUUAACAAGAAAGGGGAAACAAAAUAAUGCCCAAACACACAGUGUUGCUGGAGUCAAAACAAAGAAAAUUCAUCAAAGCAUCUAUGAGAGCUAUCCUGGGAUAAUCUAUUCUAGAGAAGACAAUACAAAUUGGCUGCAAUUGACAGGUCGUAAGUUCCUGGGGGAAAGUCAUUAUAAGCACAUCAUAGCACAUUUGGCCGAUUGCUCAGUGUUCCACACACUGACAUCAAGAACACAUUUCCAAUCCAUAUUCUGAUUGGUUAAAUGUGGUUUAGGCAGCCUUUCAGCUUUCAGAGAAAUGGUCAAAUUCUUUCUUUUCAAAAUUCCCAGGCCAAGUCAUAAUAAUGUACUGAUCUCAUGGAAGUAUUCCUGCAGUAAUCACUUCGAGUUCCUUCGUUGUGCCUCCACUGCUCUUUCAUUCAGCAAUUGCCGUUUUGUGUGUUAUCAUAGAAGAAUAACAAAGAAUUAGACUCAUGACUCUGAACAGAGGCUUGCUUUUUACAUGAGUAUUAUUAUUUCAUCCUUGGAAAUCCUGGAAAACUUCUUACUAUUUUGGAUACUAGGUCCAGAGUCUGUUUGUUUACAGCAUGGAUGCUGACUGGUUGCAGUCAGAGGGUGAUAUGCCAGUGCGUGAAGGAAAUAGGGCAAAAUGUAAACAUUGUACGUUUAGUAGUGCUCUUUCUGCAGGCAAGGAGAGAUUGAUUGAUUUCUCAAGUGCAACUUGUCUGGGGGAACAUGGGAUUUUAUUCUAUUUUAUUUCAUUUCAUUUCAUUUCAUUUAUGUUUGAGACAGACUCUUGCUGUGUUCCCCAGGCUGGAGUACAAUGGCGUGAUGUCGGCCCACUGCAACCUCCGCCUCCUGGGUUCAAGCAAUUCUCCUGCCUCAGCCUCCUGGGUAGCUGGGAUUAUAGGCGCACACCAUCAUGCCUAGCUAAUUUUUGUAUUUUCGUAGAGACGAGGUUUCUCCAUGUUGGUCAGGCUGGUCUUGAACUCCUGACCUCAGGUGAUCUGCCCGCCUCGGCCUCCCAAAGUGCUGGGAUUACAGAUAUAAGCCUCUGUGCCCGGCCAAGCAUGGGAUUUUACAAUAGCAUCGUAAGAAAUUCUAUCUUUUUCCCUGAGUAUUCAAUUUACACCCAUGUUUCGAAUGAGCAGUGAGCACCAGCACGGAGAUCGGAGCCCCGUGUUACUUGUACGUGAAGGUGUCAGUGCCUGAGUGUGCUAGUGCUGCUGAUACUCACACCAAAUAGCAAACAAGAGCCGGCAAUCUAACCUGUUAAAAAUAAUAGGCAAAUGGGAAGAGAGGACUGAGGAAUCUCCUUGAAGUUUCCCUUCACUGAUGGGUGCUAAAGAUGUAUGCCUUGGGGUUUUUUAGAUGACAUCGAUGUAAUCCCCUUCAAAAAUAGUGACGGAAGAACAGACUUCUUCACCUUAUUAAUUUCCUGCGGCAUCAAAGUCCCUUUGAGAGUCUUUCUGUUCCAAUUUUUCCUCAAGUUCACAAAAUGUUGGCUGUCAGCGUUAUUGUGGGUUAAGACAGAAGGUCCUCCUUUCCUGACCCCAGAGAUCCCAGAUCAUCCCAGUGUUUGUUUAUUUUCUAAAAUGUCCAUUUUGCUUAGAAAUAAACACAAAUUGGUGACAUUUA
Molecule: long non-coding RNA, 3689 nt
Organism: Homo sapiens (human)
Lineage: Eukaryota; Metazoa; Chordata; Mammalia; Primates; Hominidae
Exons: 3
Source: RefSeq, a predicted model, not a curated record